Molecule: ribosomal RNA, 502 nt
Filed under: uncultured bacterium
Lineage: Bacteria
Description: partial 16S ribosomal RNA
Rfam family: Bacterial small subunit ribosomal RNA
Source: RNAcentral
AGCGAACGCUGGCGGCGUGCCUAACACAUGCAAGUCGAACGUGAAAGGGAGCACUCCCACGUAAUGUGGCGUACGGGAGAGUAACACGUUGGAAAUCAACCCCAGAAUCUGGAAUAACCGGCCGAAAGGCAGGCGAAUACUUGAUACAGCGACGGAAUGCGUAAUUGGGUUUUUCGGGAAAGGGAGCCUGUAAAAGGUCCGUCGUUCUGGGAUGAGCCUGCGUCCCAUCAGCUAGUUGGUGAGGUAAAAGCUUACCAAGGCAAGGACGGGUAGCGGGUCUGAGAGGACAAUCAGACACACUGGAGCUGAAACACGGGCCAGAGUCCUACGGGAGGGAGCGGAGGGGGAAAUUGCGCAAUGGGCGAGAGACUGAGACAGAACAGCCGCGUGAGUGAGAAAAGGCCUCGCGGUGUGAAAAGCUGUCGAGUGGGACGAAAAUGCUUGGAGUUCACAGCUGCAGGAACAGGCGGUACCAGGAAAGGAAGCACCGGCUAACUCCGUG